Molecule: non-coding RNA, 98 nt
Organism: Mycena latifolia
Lineage: Eukaryota; Fungi; Basidiomycota; Agaricomycetes; Agaricales; Mycenaceae
Source: the annotation of a GenBank genome assembly
GGCCUGAUGGUGUAAUGGUAACAUACCUGUGGUCAAUUGGGGCGUCCAGUAUGUAUUACUUUCUGCAGGGGAUCCUUGUUCAAUUCGAGGUCAGGUCG